AUAAUAUAGUUAUGAAGUAGAGUUUUAAUACAGUUUUAAAAUAAACUGUUUUGGAGCUUCAAAAAUUAACCGCUUGUAUCUUUUUCCUAAAGGGCUUCUCAUUUUUCAAAUUACUUUUUGAAGCCGUUUAAAAUGAUGCUAUCCUGGUAUCUUCUGAUGCUUCAUGUCCGGCGCCUAGAAUAGUAACAUCAGGCACCUACACCUUCUUGUUGCGCUAUUUUAAAGCAGGAUAUCAGUGUAAUCAUAGUAGUUCCACAUUACUCCAUGGACUUUGAAAUGGUAUUGUUGAUCAAACCGAAUGUUGCAAGGAAGGCAAGAGUUGUAACCGAACAGGAAGGACAGCAAUAUCUCCCAGGGAAGAGGGAUGGGCACCUGGGGAUGGUAACAGCUUCAACUUUCCAGUCUGAAUCCACCAUGUCUGACAAGAGCUGUAUGGUACUCUGCAUACCAUUGACCUUCUAGCUUGAUUACAGCUCAACGUCAGCGUGCUAUGCUGAUGAGUGUUGUUUUUUUUUUUUUUAAACUGUAACAUACAUUAUAUUUGAUCAUAUUUGGAAUUAGGCAUUCUUGAAACUUUAGAUAGUAAAUGUUACUAGUAUACAAAAAUUUUGCAAGUUUCACAGGAUGUUAAGUUUGCUUUAACUUGAGCUGAAUUGACUGUGCUACCUGGCUACUAUAGGUGAUGGUUGCAUCACUUUGGGCAUGAAUGUGCUACCAGAUGUGGUGUACUUCAGCAUCAUUUCAGAUUGUGUUUUACUUAACCUUGUGUAUACAUGACUAGGAAAAUGAAUGGCAGAGGAACAGUUGAGGCAUGCAGUUAUGACCCCUAAUAACCUUUUAUAAUAAUAAUUCAUAGUACUUUCAAGGAGGACAUAAUGCUAGGAUCAGUCCUGAAGGGCCUUAGUCAGGAGAAUUUAUGGAGCUCUGAACAUGUCAUGUUUCAACAGUCUUUACUUUAUAGACUGAUGUGUUUGGCUGCUUGCAAGGCAGUUACUUUGAAAUUAUAUUGAGGAUUCAUCUAGUCAAUUUUUGUUCCAUGGACAAGCAACAGAAUUUAGAGAGUAGCUUUAUUUUAAAUUAGUACUGACAAGCUAAGAAUUCUGAUACUGACAUAAUUUCAAUGUAAUCUUAAAUCAUUAUGACUGGUAACCACAAAAACUACCUGGGAGUGAGGGAAGUGGUGAAAAGGCUGUCAUUGUGUUUGUGUUGGUGAUACUGAUAUCACUUUCUGGACUUCUUCUAAUGCUCUGGAAGUUUCAUUGCCUAGCAGAAAAAUAUAUGUAAAUAAUAUUACUGAUUUCAGCACCCAUUUUUUUUCAUUUGCUGAGCUGUAAAAUGCUUACCUGAAUCUAUAAGCAGUUAAAGUAUCUUUGAAAACCUAACCUGCUGUGAGCAGAAACAAGCUAUUUGUUUGUAAUUAAAGUUGCACCUAUAGCUAAAUCAGUUUAAAUAAAAAACAAUGUGUGUGGGGGGGUUGUGUGUGG
This 1484-nucleotide long non-coding RNA is filed under the name Apteryx owenii (little spotted kiwi). RNAcentral describes it as "lncRNA (ENSAOWG00000000379.1)". The record is from RNAcentral. Lineage: Eukaryota; Metazoa; Chordata; Aves; Apterygiformes; Apterygidae.